CCUACGGGUGGCAGCAGUGGGGAAUAUUGCGCAAUGGGGGCAACCCUGACGCAGCCAUGCCGCGUGAAUGAAGAAGGCCUUCGGGUUGUAAAGUUCUUUCGGUAGCGAGGAAGGCAUUUAGUUUAAUAGACUAGGUGAUUGACGUUAACUACAGAAGAAGCACCGGCUAACUCCGUGCCAGCAGCCGCGGUAAUACGGAGGGUGCGAGCGUUAAUCGGAAUAACUGGGCGUAAAGGGCACGCAGGCGGUGACUUAAGUGAGGUGUGAAAGCCCCGGGCUUAACCUGGGAAUUGCAUUUCAUACUGGGUCGCUGGAGUACUUUAGGGAGGGGUAAAAUUCCACGUGUAGCGGUGAAAUGCGUAGAGUUGUGGAGAAAUACCGAAGGCGAAGGCAGCCCCUUGGGAAUGUACUGACGCUCAUGUGCAAAAGCGUGGGGAGCAAACAGGAUAAGAUACCCCAGUAGUC
Molecule: ribosomal RNA, 465 nt
Filed under: uncultured Haemophilus sp.
Lineage: Bacteria; Pseudomonadati; Pseudomonadota; Gammaproteobacteria; Pasteurellales; Pasteurellaceae
Description: bacterial SSU rRNA
Rfam family: Bacterial small subunit ribosomal RNA
Source: RNAcentral